This 237-nucleotide long non-coding RNA is filed under the name Durio zibethinus. RNAcentral describes it as "long non-coding RNA (DZIB_LNC001280)". Lineage: Eukaryota; Viridiplantae; Streptophyta; Magnoliopsida; Malvales; Malvaceae. The record is from RNAcentral.
UUAUUUUAUGAAAAAACAAAAUAUCAUAAUGUUUUGAAAUUGAUAAUUAUUUAGAUAGUCAUAACUAUUUGAACUUGUUCGGUAAAUAGAUUCAUUUUUUUAAAUUUUCUUACUCAUUAAAUUAAUAUUUUUUAUUUUAAAUAAGCUUAUAUUAACUGAAUCAAUUGUUUUAUUACAAAACAAAAGGUCACGAUGAUUUGAAAUAGAUAAUUAUUCAAAUAAUCAUACCUAUUUGAA